This is a long non-coding RNA of Physella acuta, 773 nucleotides long. RefSeq lists it as uncharacterized. The record is from RefSeq and is a predicted model, not a curated record. NCBI's taxonomy places the organism in Eukaryota, Metazoa, Mollusca, Gastropoda, Physidae.
GCCUACAUAGACAUGCAUAAUUGCUAUUCUGUGAAUUGAUGUUUGUUUACUGUAUACUAAGCUUUGAUUACCAUUUUUUUAAAAGGUUUUUAGGUCCCUUUAUAAUAGCCAGUAUCAAACUUCAAAACAUCAUAAUUUUAUUUAGCCUACUUUUAUUAGGUGGAGUACAGAAUGGCUAACCCCCAUAGUUUUCAUUUCUGUUCCCAGACUUGAACCUGUAGAUUUCCCCUAAGCCCAUCAUGCUCAAGAGAAGUCAAAGCAGCUGGGUAUAAAACUGACCACACAAUACCAUCAUAUGUAGGGGUCACAGGAACAGAUAAACUGUACAUCCACUUCCUCUUUGGCUCCAUGAUCAGAAUGGGAAUUUUUUAAAUGUUGUGUUUAACAUUGAUUUUUUGUCCACAAACAACCUGGACAAUACAAUAAAAUUCAUCAAAGAAAACCAGCAAAAGUAAACAUUUAUUCUGAAUGGUACAAAUCUUAGAGAAAAUUAAAGUUCUACACACAGAACAGAAAUUUUUCUAAACAGUGGCUAACAGUAACAGUCUUCUAUAAAAGGUAUUGAAAUUGUUGUGAUUAAAAUGAUGUCAGAGAAAUGCACAUUUUUAAAAUUCUAGUCAAGUGAAAUAAAUAUUCUUCAUUCACCGCCAAACUAACCAUGUUAAUUUCUUUUAGUUAGGACCAGACAAAUGUUUCCAAUCGCAUACAAGUGUAAGUAUAGCGAUUGUUGCUAGUUUCAUGAAAAACAGCAACUGCUUUUCAUGUAGGAAAAA